Molecule: ribosomal RNA, 383 nt
Filed under: uncultured eukaryote
Lineage: Eukaryota
Description: partial 18S ribosomal RNA
Rfam family: Eukaryotic small subunit ribosomal RNA
Source: RNAcentral
CAAUAGCGUAUAUUAAAGUUGUUGCAGUUAAAAAGCUCGUAGUAGGAUUUCUGGUGGGAGCGAUCGGUCUGGCGCUUAGCGCGAGUACUUGCAUCGUCUCCGGCCAUCCUUGGGGAGAGUCUGUCUGGCAUUAGGUUGUCGGGCAGAGGAUCCUCAUCGUUUACUGUGAAAAAAUUAGAGUGUUCAAAGCAGGCUUAUGCCGUUGAAUAUAUUAGCAUGGAAUAAUAAGAUAGGACUUUGGUACUAUUUUGUUGGUUUGCGCACCAAAGUAAUGAUUAAUAGGGACAGUUGGGGGUAUUCGUAUUCCGUUGUCAGAGGUGAAAUUCUUGGAUUUACGGAAGACGAACUACUGCGAAAGCAUUUACCAAGGAUGUUUUCAUUAA